RNAcentral lists this ribosomal RNA (447 nucleotides) under uncultured bacterium. RNAcentral describes it as "partial 16S ribosomal RNA". It matches the Rfam family "Bacterial small subunit ribosomal RNA", at positions 355 to 793 of the family's 1533-position model. The record is from RNAcentral.
UGGGGAAUAUUGCACAAUGGGCGCAAGCCUGAUGCAGCCAUGCCGCGUGUGUGAAGAAGGCCUUCGGGUUGUAAAGCACUUUCAGCGAGGAGGAAGGGUUCAGUGUUAAUAGCACUGUUCAUUGACGUUACUCGCAGAAGAAGCGCCGGCUAACUCCGUGCCAGCAGCCGCGGUAAUACGGAGGGUGCAAGCGUUAAUCGGAAUUACUGGGCGUAAAGCGCACGCAGGCGGUUUGUUAAGUCAGAUGUGAAAUCCCCGCGCUUAACGUGGGAACUGCAUUUGAAACUGGCAAGCUAGAGUCUUGUAGAGGGGGGUAGAAUUCCAGGUGUAGCGGUGAAAUGCGUAGAGAUCUGGAGGAAUACCGGUGGCGAAGGCGGCCCCCUGGACAAAGACUGACGCUCAGGUGCGAAAGCGUGGGGAGCAAAACAGGAUUAGAUACCCUGGUAG